UAGGGUAACCUGCCUUAUAGUGGGGGAGUAGCCUUUCGAAAGGAAGAUUAAUACCGCAUAAGAUUGUAGUAUCGCAUGAUAUAGCAAUUAAAGGAGCAAUCCGCUAUAAGAUGGACCCGCGUCGCAUUAGCUAGUUGGUGAGGUAAUGGCUCACCUAGGCGACAAUCCCUAGCUGGUCUGAGAGGAUGACCAGCCACACUGGAACUGAGACACGGUCCAGACUCCUACGGGAGGCAGCAUG
This 241-nucleotide ribosomal RNA is filed under the name uncultured bacterium. RNAcentral's name for it is "partial 16S ribosomal RNA". It matches the Rfam family "Bacterial small subunit ribosomal RNA", at positions 118 to 353 of the family's 1533-position model. The record is from RNAcentral.